AUGCUACCAGCUCUCCCUGGUGCUUCUGUGUGCUGCCGAUGCUCUCUGCAGUGCAGCUGUGUUUUUGGUCUGGUAAGUCCUCUUCGACAUGGAUGUUCCUAUUCACUGCCUAUACUUGGAAGCUGCGGAAUUCUUCCAAAGAAAAUGAAUGCUGCACAGCCUUUCUGUGCAUACCAUGAAGAUGUAUCUAAUCUACAAAAACUUUCUAGGAAUGACAAGACUUUUCCAAGAUGCCUGUGCUGGUUUAAGUGCUGUUUGAAUCCACAUUGCAGUGGGCUUUACACAGGUUGGCUUCUGAUUGCUGCUUUUUCAAAUAUAACACAAAUGUAGACAAAAUAAUACUGAAUUCCCAUCAAAAGGGUCACAUAUUGCUGUGCUGUGGCAGAGGAGCAACCUGACAUGCAGGGGAGUUCUCUAAAUAUGUAUUUUUCUUGCAGUUCCAAAGCAAGUGUUGAAUCCCACAUUGUAACCUGUUUCUCAUUUUAUAUUCCCACCCAACUCUUCUGAUUGUUAAAGUAGCUUGAAAACAAGCCAGGCACAGCCUGCCCUUUCACAUGUGUUAGGCAAAACCACAAACAACAACUGCGCUAAAACUUGCCUGGAACAAGUUCAUUAACACAGCCCAACGAGACCUGACAUACAACCAGAAAAACAGGAAAAUAUUUUAGCAUUUGGGAGUCAUUAUUAGAAGUGUCUUUUUUUCUUUUUUCUUCCCCCCCCCCCCCCCCUUUUUUUUUUCCUCCUCCCUUCUUUCUCCUCCCCUUGGGGUUAACAUCUGUUAAAGGCAUUAUUUUUCAAAAGCACCCAGUGAAGUGGGAAGAUGAAGCCCUAGUGCUGAAGGUACUGGGGUGUCCCAGCUGGCUCAGCAUCUGCCCUCCCUGUCUGGGCUGCAUGAGGGGCUCCUCCAGAGGCUGAUUCAGAGCAUCUAAUUUAACCUCUUCUGGAGAGCAUUCAGAGGUGUCUGCCUCUUUGAUGAGUGAAGUAAAAGACUGAGGGCAAUGACUGGUUAAUCUUAGGGGAAUUCAUACCACACACGGAGGUGCCAGAGGCAUUUUAAUAAUGGGACUUGAAACCCUUGGCUCCUGAUAACCGGACUCGGUUCGCUUCUGCCAAGGUGAGCAUCCAACAUUAAGGCACUCCAAAUCAUUAAUAUCCCUAGCGUAAACCUGUGCUUGGCUGGCUCCGAGCUCUUCUGAGGGAGGGGACCAGGCUUUCUUUCCACAACCCCUGCUCAGAAUAUUUGCACUCCAUAAAGCAUAUCUUUCCGUGUACAAACUCAUGUUUGCAUGAAGGACGUAGUGAUUUCAGCAUCACAGAGCCAGGCAGCUCC
RNAcentral lists this long non-coding RNA (1330 nucleotides) under Anas platyrhynchos platyrhynchos (common mallard). RNAcentral's name for it is "lncRNA (ENSAPLG00000017922.1)". The record is from RNAcentral. Lineage: Eukaryota; Metazoa; Chordata; Aves; Anseriformes; Anatidae.